Long non-coding RNA from Mauremys reevesii (Reeves's turtle), 1731 nucleotides. RefSeq lists it as uncharacterized. The record is from RefSeq and is a predicted model, not a curated record. NCBI's taxonomy places the organism in Eukaryota, Metazoa, Chordata, Testudines, Geoemydidae. The transcript is spliced from 3 exons.
GAAAGGAAACAAAGCAGCAAAUUCUUGAAGAAAAUAAUAUUAUUCCGCAGAAUCUGAUUCCGUCUUCAGUCAAAAUGAGUAGGGGUGAGCAAACAACCAGCCUAACCCUCUCUUCACAGCAGACCAGGGAAGGAAGAGUAGAACUGAAGUACUAUGGAAAGUGUGAAGUCAAGGAAGUAACCAUCUAGUUAACUGUAGUAAUGACUGAUUUUGAGAAGGUUACUGCUAUUGUGAAUCAUUCCCCAUGUAUUAUUGGAGCUGGAAGACGCAGCACAGAUGAAUGCCUACAUUGGAAAAAUCAAUUGAUCCCCAGUGAUUAAUGACCAUUUCCACCAAUCAGCGAAUAGGCCACAGUCAGUAAGGGUAACUCGACUGAUCCUCUCCAUCACAUGGGCACGGGAAACCGUCUCCCUGGACUUUCUUUCCAUUCCCUUAUACAUCAGAGCAGCAGAGGGAAGGAUUCACCUCUUUGUGUUCAUCUUCUUUUUUUCUUGAUCCUUCUUGUUGUCUAAAUUGCUAUUAUAUGAGUUAUAAUAGUGCAAAGGUGACAUUCCUUAUAGUUCUCAAUAUGGCUCAUCAUGAUGCAUCAUAUUUUCAUACUGUCCAUUUGAGAUCCUGCAGCAGCGUACAUCAAACAUCUUGCCAAGUGUACGAGGGAGUUCAUUUCCUGUUGUUGGAGCAGCUGCAAAUAAUCUUAAAUAUACUCAGUUGACUCUGAAAUAAAUUAAAACAGGUGCCUGGAAAAGGGACUUUUUAAUGGAUAAAAAAGUUUGUCCUUUUUCACUUGCAUAUUUUAAAAAUAAUACUAGCAGUGAGAAAAAGUAAAAGAAAUAUACACAGAUGAAUAUGUAAGAAUUCAAACUCAAAUUGGACACAGGAGGGAAAGAAAGGGGAAAAGACCUUGAAAACUGCAAAACCUUGUAUAGUGAAGGUGUUAUAAAGAUAAUUGCUACCUUGAGUUUUGAAGCUACAGAUUAUUUCCCCAUUGACACCUCCUUUCCAUCUGAACUUUUAUUGAUUUGUACAGUAAUUUCUAUCUUCCUAGCAUGCAAACUCCACAUCUGAAAAGGAGGAGGGCUGUAGCAGGGCAGCCUUUUUUGUUGUUGUUUAAUAUAACAUGUUUGAUCAGCCUGAGCAAAUCACCAUCUAGCAUUGUAGAGGUUCAUAUGCAGAUUACAACUCUUGGCUCUUCAAAUAGUCUAUGUUACAAACUUCUUAAUUUGCCUGGAUUUGGUUAUGGAGCCAAUGCAAGCACAGGGUAUUUCAAAUGGCUUAGUUCUGCUCUUUACUCCCAAAGACUUUCAAGCUUUCAAGUAAGUUAUUCCAUCUACUGUAUUUGUGCUUGGUUAUAUGUAACUAUGUGCAGCAGCUGCUCCUGUUGCUUGUGCUAUUAGAAUGUCAUUGUGUUCUCUGUUUGAAUGAGAGAGAAAUAAUCUUUGCUUUAGAUUCUUUGGUCUGGCCAAACUGCUCCUAUGGUGACACUCUAAUAGCACUGGAGAUAUCAGCUGUUGUACAUAAAAUACUAUUGUAUAUAAUAUACUUUAUAUGAAACAGCUGAUGUCUCUCAAUUUGAUACACUCAGUGGACCUAUCUGUGUGUCUGUAUGUGUAUAUGUGUGUGCACACACAUAUACACUAAUCUCUAUCUCAUAUAUGAAUAAUAUAAAAUCUGGCUCAUGAUAUAGAUUGCAUGCAUGAACACAUAAGACUUGGAAAAAUUUCUUUGAGUUCA